GCCACACAACACACUACAGUCUUUCAACUCAUAAUUAUUCAAAGACAACAUGGUAAAAACGCAAGCUAUCCUUGUACUCAUGUUCGUUUCUAUGGCAUAUGGUGGUAACUAUGGAAACGGCUUUAACUACGGAAAUAACUACCAAUACACCGGAAGUUAUGUCGGUUCUAACAACGCUGGAACAUUCAACAGAAAUGCAAACAGUUAUAGUAAUUAUGGUGGAUAUAGUUCUCAAGGAUAUAAUAGAUACACACCAGGUGGAUAUGGUCAAGGAUAUAAUAAAUACGCAUCAGGUGUUUACAGCCAAAUGAUAGUGCCGCACCCUUAUCCACUUCCGGUUCCGGUUGCAUCUCGGCAUUCUCAUGCAGGCAAUAGAGUUCUUGUUGUGAGAAAUCAAGGCACUCAAAACAAUGGUUUACUUGGUUUUGGAGGCAAUGGCAUAUUCGGAUUUAUAGUUACCAUCCUGUUCUUACAGUACAUUAUGCAACGACUUAACAACACUCAGAACCAAGCCCAGUGAUAAUAAAAGCUCAGGGACAUCUGUUGACAAGAAGAAACUUAAUACACGUUUAAAUAAAAUGGUUAUGGAAUUUAAACAUAA
Molecule: long non-coding RNA, 601 nt
Organism: Mytilus californianus (California mussel)
Lineage: Eukaryota; Metazoa; Mollusca; Bivalvia; Mytilida; Mytilidae
Exons: 3
Source: RefSeq, a predicted model, not a curated record